RNAcentral lists this long non-coding RNA (333 nucleotides) under Ananas comosus (pineapple). RNAcentral describes it as "long non-coding RNA (ACOM_LNC028396)". Lineage: Eukaryota; Viridiplantae; Streptophyta; Magnoliopsida; Poales; Bromeliaceae. The record is from RNAcentral.
AAUAUGUCUUUAGUAUAUAGUUAUCUUUCAACAUUAAAUUGAUGAUAAAAAAGGUGUGCAAUUGUCAACUGAUAUUUUAAUAAAAUUUUUUAUUAGAGUUGAUUUAACUACUUUUUACACUUCUCAGAUAUCCCUUUCCAUUUCAACAUAACAAUUUACAUAUUUGAAUUUUCUUUGCAUCGUUGUCAAAGAUUGUUUGGAACGUUUGGCCUGUUCAUACAAUAACUCGAUAUGAUACUUAUAGAAUUCGCCCCAACAAAUAAUACUUUGGUUUUGCCAAAUUUUUUUGUUAGAGGUUAUUUAUAUUCUUUCAUCAUAAUAAUCUUCAAAUAA